UGAUGGGGAUAACAGUUGGAAACGACUGCUAAUACCGAAUACGCUCAUGAUGAACUUUAUGAGGAAAGGUGGCCUCUGCUUGCAAGCUAUCGCAUAGAAAUGAGUCCGCGUCCCAUUAGCUAGUUGGUGGGGUAACGGCCUACCAAGGCAACGAUGGGUAGCCGAUCUGAGAGGAUGAUCGGCCACACUGGAACUGAAACACGGUCCAG
Molecule: ribosomal RNA, 209 nt
Filed under: uncultured bacterium
Lineage: Bacteria
Description: partial 16S ribosomal RNA
Rfam family: Bacterial small subunit ribosomal RNA
Source: RNAcentral